UGGGACGUGGCCAAGCGGUAAGGCGGCGGACUUUGACUCCGUUAUUCGUAGGUUCGAAUCCUGCCGUCCCAGCCA
RNAcentral lists this transfer RNA (75 nucleotides) under Oceanotoga teriensis. RNAcentral describes it as "tRNA-Gln". It matches the Rfam family "tRNA". From Rfam's summary of the family: Transfer RNA (tRNA) molecules are approximately 80 nucleotides in length. Their secondary structure includes four short double-helical elements and three loops (D, anti-codon, and T loops). Further hydrogen bonds mediate the characteristic L-shaped molecular structure. tRNAs have two regions of fundamental functional importance: the anti-codon, which is responsible for specific mRNA codon recognition, and the 3' end, to which the tRNAs corresponding amino acid is attached (by aminoacyl-tRNA synthetases). tRNAs cope with the degeneracy of the genetic code in two manners: having more than one tRNA (with a specific anti-codon) for a particular amino acid; and 'wobble' base-pairing, i.e. permitting non-standard base-pairing at the 3rd anti-codon position. The record is from RNAcentral. RNAcentral also lists the same sequence under 1 other name. Lineage: Bacteria; Thermotogati; Thermotogota; Thermotogae; Petrotogales; Petrotogaceae.